This 492-nucleotide ribosomal RNA is filed under the name uncultured bacterium. Its description in RNAcentral is "partial 16S ribosomal RNA". It matches the Rfam family "Bacterial small subunit ribosomal RNA", at positions 29 to 507 of the family's 1533-position model. The record is from RNAcentral.
AGUGAACGCUGGCGGUAGGCCUAACACAUGCAAGUCGAACGGCAGCACAGUAAGAGCUUGCUCUUACGGGUGGCGAGUGGCGGACGGGUGAGGAAUACAUCGGAAUCUACUUUUUCGUGGGGGAUAACGGAGGGAAACUUACGCUAAUACCGCAUACGACCUACGGGUGAAAGCAGGGGAUCUUCGGACCUUGCGCGAUUGAAUGAGCCGAUGUCGGAUUAGCUAGUUGGCGGGGUAAAGGCCCACCAAGGCGACGAUCCGUAGCUGGUCUGAGAGGAUGAUCAGCCACACUGGAACUGAGACACGGUCCAGACUCCUACGGGAGGCAGCAGUGGGGAAUAUUGGACAAUGGGCGCAAGCCUGAUCCAGCCAUACCGCGUGAGUGAAGAAGGCCUUCGGGUUGUAAAGCCCUUUUGUUGGGAAAGAAAAGCAGCAGGUUAAUACCCCGCUGUUCUGACGGUACCCAAAGAAUAAGCACCGGCUAACUUCGUG